GAAGCUAAAGGAUUUAUUCACUUCCCGAGGGGCUCGCGGCCCAUCAGCUUGUUGGUGAGGGUAACGGCCCACCAAGGCGACAACGGGUAGCUGGUCUGAGAGGAUGGUCAGCCACACUGGAACUGAGACACGGUCCAGACACCUACGGGUGGCAGCAGUCGAGAAUCAUUCGCAAUGGGGGAAACCCUGACGAUGCGACGCCGCGUGGAGGAUGAAGGCCUUAGGGUUGUAAACUCCUGUCAAGAGGGAAUAAGCAAGUGAAGGUACCUCUAGAGGAAGGGGCGGCUAAUUCCGUGCCAGCAGCCGCGGUAACACGGAAGCCCCGAGCGUUGUUCGGAUUCAUUGGGCGUAAAGGGUGCGUAGGCGGCGCGGAAAGUCCGGCGUGAAAGGCAGGGGCUCAACCUCUGGACUGCGUUGGAUACUUCCGUGCUUGAGGACUGGAGGGGAGACUGGAAUUCACGGUGUAGCAGUGAAAUGCGUAGAUAUCGUGAGGAAGACCGGUGGCGAAGGCGAGUCUCUGGACAGAUCCUGACGCUGAGGCACGAAGGCUGGGGGAGCGAACAGGAUUAGAUACCCUGGUAGUCCCAGCAGUAAACGAUGUGAGCUUGAUGUGGGGGGAUUCGACCCCUUCCGUGUCGAAGCUAACGCGAUAAGCUCACCGCCUGAGGAGUACGGCCGCAAGGCUAAAACUCAAAGAAAUUGACGGGGACCCGCACAAGCGGUGGAGUAUGUGGCUUAAUUCGAUGCAACGCGAAGAACCUUACCUGGCCUUGACAUGCAUUGUGUCGUCGGUGAAAGCCGGCUAGUCCUGGAAACAGGACGCUUUGCACAGGUGCUGCAUGGCUGUCGUCAGCUCGUGUCGUGAGAUGUUGGGUUAAGUCCCGCAACGAGCGCAACCCUUGUGGUCAGUUACUAACCGGCUUAGCCGGAGGACUCUGGCCAGACUGCCCUGUCAAACGGGGAGGAAGGUGGGGACGACGUCAAGUCAGUAUGGCCCUUAUGGCCAGGGCUGCACACGUACUACAAUGCCCGGUACAAUGUGAACCGAAACCGCGAGGUGGAGGAAAUCGCUCUUGAAAACCGGGCCCAGUUCGGAUUGGAGUCUGUAACUCGACUCCAUGAAGUCGGAAUCG
This 1133-nucleotide ribosomal RNA is filed under the name uncultured organism. RNAcentral describes it as "bacterial SSU rRNA". It matches the Rfam family "Bacterial small subunit ribosomal RNA", at positions 197 to 1334 of the family's 1533-position model. The record is from RNAcentral.